This 495-nucleotide ribosomal RNA is filed under the name uncultured bacterium. RNAcentral describes it as "partial 16S ribosomal RNA". It matches the Rfam family "Bacterial small subunit ribosomal RNA", at positions 28 to 523 of the family's 1533-position model. The record is from RNAcentral.
GAUGAACGCUGGCGGCGUGCUUAACACAUGCAAGUCGAGCGAAGCACUUAAGUCUGAUUCUUCGGAUGAAGACUUUUGUGACUGAGCGGCGGACGGGUGAGUAACGCGUGGGUAACCUGCCUCAUACAGGGGGAUAACAGUUAGAAAUGACUGCUAAUACCGCAUAAGACCACGGUACCGCAUGGUACAGUGGUAAAAACUCCGGUGGUAUGAGAUGGACCCGCGUCUGAUUAGGUAGUUGGUGGGGUAACGGCCUACCAAGCCGACGAUCAGUAGCCGACCUGAGAGGGUGACCGGCCACAUUGGGACUGAGACACGGCCCAGACUCCUACGGGAGGCAGCAGUGGGGAAUAUUGCACAAUGGAGGAAACUCUGAUGCAGCGACGCCGCGUGAAGGAUGAAGUAUUUCGGUAUGUAAACUUCUAUCAGCAGGGAAAAAAAUGACGGUACCUGACUAAGAAGCCCCGGCUAACUACGUGCCAGCCGCCGCAGUAA